This 344-nucleotide ribosomal RNA is filed under the name Escherichia coli. Its description in RNAcentral is "bacterial SSU rRNA". It matches the Rfam family "Bacterial small subunit ribosomal RNA", at positions 1 to 341 of the family's 1533-position model. Lineage: Bacteria; Pseudomonadati; Pseudomonadota; Gammaproteobacteria; Enterobacterales; Enterobacteriaceae. The record is from RNAcentral.
AAAUUGAAGAGUUUGAUCAUGGCUCAGAUUGAACGCUGGCGGCAGGCCUAACACAUGCAAGUCGAACGGUAACAGGAAGCAGCUUGCUGCUUUGCUGACGAGUGGCGGACGGGUGAGUAAUGUCUGGGAAACUGCCUGAUGGAGGGGGAUAACUACUGGAAACGGUAGCUAAUACCGCAUAACGUCGCAAGACCAAAGAGGGGGACCUUCGGGCCUCUUGCCAUCGGAUGUGCCCAGAUGGGAUUAGCUAGUAGGUGGGGUAACGGCUCACCUAGGCGACGAUCCCUAGCUGGUCUGAGAGGAUGACCAGCCACACUGGAACUGAGACACGGUCCAGACUCCUA